GGNNAAUGCGGCGUGCUUACCAUGCAGUCGAACGAGAAGUUUCCUUCGGGAAACGAGUAGAGUGGCGCACGGGUGAGUAACGCGUAGGUAAUCUACCCUUAUGACUGGGAUAACAUUGGGAAACUGGUGCUAAUACCGGAUAUCCUUCUUUUCUGCAGGGUAAAGAAGGAAAGGUGGCCUCUUCAUGAAAGCUACCGCAUAGGGAUGAGCCUGCGUACCAUUAGCUAGUAGGUGUGGGUAACGGCCCACCUAGGCAACGAUGGUUAGCGGGUCUGAGAGGAUGAUCCGCCACACUGGAACUGGAACACGGACCAGACUCCUACGGGAGGCAGCAGUGAGGAAUAUUGCGCAAUGGGGGAAACCCUGACGCAGCGACGCCGCGUGAGUGAGGAAGGUCUUCGGAUCGUAAAGCUCUGUCAGAAGGGAAGAAGUGUUAUAUGGUUAACACCCAUAUAAUUUGACGGUACCUUCAGAGGAAGCACCGGCUAACUCCGUGCCAGCAGCCGCGGUAAUACGGAGGGUGCGAGCGUUGUUCGGAAUUACUGGGCGUAAAGGGCGCGUAGGCGGCUUGAUAAGUCAGGUGUGAAAGUCCAUGGCUCAACCGUGGAAGUGCAUUUGAAACUGUCAGGCUUGAGUAUCGGAGGGGAGUGUGGAAUUCCCGGUGUAGAGGUGAAAUUCGUAGAGAUCGGGAGGAACACCUGUGGCGAAGGCGACACUCUGGACGAAUACUGACGCUGAGGCGCGAAAGCGUGGGGAGCAAACAGGAUUAGAUACCCUGGUAGUCCACGCCGUAAACGAUGAGAACUAGAGGUAGGGGGUGUUGAUCCCUCCUGUCUCGCAGCUAACGCAUUAAGUUCUCCGCCUGGGGAGUACGGUCGCAAGAUUAAAACUCAAAGGAAUUGACGGGGGCCCGCACAAGCGGGGAGUAUGUGGUUUAAUUCGACGCAACGCGAAGAACCUUACUUGGGCUU
Molecule: ribosomal RNA, 971 nt
Filed under: uncultured bacterium
Lineage: Bacteria
Description: bacterial SSU rRNA
Rfam family: Bacterial small subunit ribosomal RNA
Source: RNAcentral